GAGGGUAUAGCUCAGUGGUACAGUACCUGCUUAGCAUGCAAAAGGUCCUGGGUUCAAUCCCCAGUACUUCCU
Molecule: transfer RNA, 72 nt
Filed under: Camelus bactrianus (Bactrian camel)
Lineage: Eukaryota; Metazoa; Chordata; Mammalia; Artiodactyla; Camelidae
Also listed under: 1 other name
Rfam family: tRNA
About the family: Transfer RNA (tRNA) molecules are approximately 80 nucleotides in length. Their secondary structure includes four short double-helical elements and three loops (D, anti-codon, and T loops). Further hydrogen bonds mediate the characteristic L-shaped molecular structure. tRNAs have two regions of fundamental functional importance: the anti-codon, which is responsible for specific mRNA codon recognition, and the 3' end, to which the tRNAs corresponding amino acid is attached (by aminoacyl-tRNA synthetases). tRNAs cope with the degeneracy of the genetic code in two manners: having more than one tRNA (with a specific anti-codon) for a particular amino acid; and 'wobble' base-pairing, i.e. permitting non-standard base-pairing at the 3rd anti-codon position.
Source: Rfam by way of RNAcentral